Molecule: ribosomal RNA, 256 nt
Filed under: uncultured bacterium
Lineage: Bacteria
Description: partial 16S ribosomal RNA
Rfam family: Bacterial small subunit ribosomal RNA
Source: RNAcentral
UAAUACAGAGGGUGCAAGCGUUGUUCGGAAUUAUUGGGCGUAAAGCGCAUGUAGGCGGCUAUCUAAGUCUGGUGUGAAAGCCCGGAGCUUAACUCCGGAAGUGCACUGGAUACUGGAUAGCUAGAGGACGAGAGAGGAAAGUGGAAUUCCUGGUGUAGGGGUGAAAUCCGUAGAUAUCAGGAGGAACAUCGGUGGCGAAGGCGGCUUUCUGGCUCGUAACUGACGCUGAGAUGCGAAAGCGUGGGGAGCAAACAGG